UACGGGGGGGGCAAGCGUUGUUCGGAAUUACUGGGCGUAAAGAGCUCGUAGGCGGACUGUCACGUCCGCUGUGAAAAGCUAGGGCUUAACCCUGGCCUUGCAGUGGAUACGGGCAGACUAGAGGUAGGUAGGGGAGAAUGGAAUUCCCGGUGUAGCGGUGAAAUGCGUAGAGAUCAUGAGGAAGACCAGUGGCGAAGGCGGGUCUCUGGACAGUUCCUGACACUGAGGCACGAAGGCCAGGGGAGCAAACGGG
Molecule: ribosomal RNA, 253 nt
Filed under: uncultured bacterium
Lineage: Bacteria
Description: partial 16S ribosomal RNA
Rfam family: Bacterial small subunit ribosomal RNA
Source: RNAcentral